GACGAACCGUGCGAGCGUUGUUCGGAAUUACUGGGCUUAAAGGGCGCGUAGGCGGCUUACCAAGUCAGGGGUGAAAUUUUGCGGCUUAACCGUAACAGUGCCUUUGAUACUGGUAGGCUCGAGGGAGAUAGGGGUCUGCGGAACUUCCGGUGGAGCGGUGAAAUGCGUUGAUAUCGGAAGGAACGCCGGUGGCGAAAGCGGCAGACUGGAUCUCUUCUGACGCUGAGGCGCGAAAGCUAGGGGAGCAAACGGG
This 253-nucleotide ribosomal RNA is filed under the name uncultured bacterium. RNAcentral describes it as "partial 16S ribosomal RNA". It matches the Rfam family "Bacterial small subunit ribosomal RNA", at positions 524 to 776 of the family's 1533-position model. The record is from RNAcentral.